Long non-coding RNA from Acanthopagrus latus (yellowfin seabream), 1669 nucleotides. RefSeq lists it as uncharacterized. The record is from RefSeq and is a predicted model, not a curated record. Lineage: Eukaryota; Metazoa; Chordata; Actinopteri; Spariformes; Sparidae. The transcript is spliced from 2 exons.
AACUAAGUCAUUACUUUUAGCCAACUUUUUCAACCAUUACAUGUUAUAGUGUUCAGGUGUUACAGCUGACUCAUUUAGUGGAUAUAACAAAGAAAAUGUGUUGAGUUUCUCUUUAACUCUUCCAGUGACCCCUUCACAACUGCAGACGUAACCCCCUCACAGGUGUACACCGCAAUAUCUGUAGGAACACUGGCCUUGACUCAUUAUGUAAAAAGGAGCAUGAAGAUGUAUUUGAGAGGGAACUUGAGAGAGCCUUUGAAGAAGUGAGUAAAGAUGAUUUGACAGAAAAUGGCAGAAGCAUAUAUCUACACUGUAAGGAGCGAUUUUGGGGAGCGGUAAAUAUUAUCUAUGUAAAUCGUAUCAAAUGUACUUGAUUAUUGUUGUCAGCCAAGGAAUUAUAAAGUAACGGGUAAAUUAUACACUUACUACCUCUUUGUUAAGAGUAAAAACUAUUGCAUAGAGAGUAAAUAGGGUAAAAUAUACCCAGAAGCUGAGUCCCGUGUUCCGAACUGCGCAUGCGCUAAACUGAGCGGGACUUGGACCGUUAACUUCCUCUCAUUGCCACUGCUCGCCGCCAUCCGCCGCUGCGCUCACGGACCGGACUGCAAAAAGGAAGGAAUGUGAGGACCAUACAGACAAAACAAUGAAGGUGAUUGUGCAGCACAGUGUCAUGGCUGAGGAGGAUCCAUCAGAUGUGUCUAUUGUGAUUGAGGGAAACACCGUGAUGGAAGAAUGUGGAAGUCGAACGAAGGCAUGUGUUCUGCUGAUGGGACUGAUAUAUGCCCUCAACCUCGAAUAUCCACAGCAGCUGAAGAACACGUUUGAAACAUUUCAAAAACUUUUUUUGGAGCUUGACGCAGCGAAACUACAGAAGAAGGUCCACAGCCUCAAAAGUAAGCUCAUGCAAUAGACAUUCCCCUUCUUGUUCCAAGAGGAUCUGUACACAGAGUUGUGAUGGAGUGUGAUUUUAGUUUUCUUCACUGCUGCUCUCCUCCCUACCACACACACACACACACUAACACACACGCACACACACACAAGUUGUAUGUUGUGCAGCCUCAGCCCACUCCCUUGCUGCCUGAUUUCCCCAGAUUGACAGAGAAGGAACACCAAUAGAAAGUGGCUGGCUUUGUCAAUACCCUCAGUUUGUUUUAAAUAUGUUGGUGUUCACCUGUUCUAUUCUCAUCUAAAUGUUUGAUAGAGUAUAUGCACAGGAACAUGGCAGACUUUAUGUGUGGGCUUUUGACUUUUAAAAUAUAAUAUAAGUCACCUCUUGAAAGUGUUGUCUGUAUUUGAGGCAGUUUAGUUAUUUGUUGUUUGUUGUUGUAUUGUAUUGUGGUUGUUGUAUAAAUGUACUUGUACUGCAGAUUUGGUGUUAAGUUGUAAAGCUAAAGAGGCACGAGUUUGGAUACAAGAAAAUCUUGUUGUUACUGGACAUCCCUUGGAGAUCUGCUCUCCUGAUACUUCUUCAUUCAUUUCCACUUCUCUUCUAUCCUCUGAUCUUGUCACUUUUUCUUUUUGAUCAAGCUGGAUGUGGGAAGAUGCAUUUGUCAUCAAGAAACAUGAAGUUGUUACUUCAGUGAGAUUUGAAACAUGUUUAUACCUUGAAAAGCACUGUGAGGCUUUAUUCUGUGUUUUUGAUAAUUGAUUAAAAACAUUGUGAUGAUCA